This 116-nucleotide ribosomal RNA is filed under the name bacterium. The record is from RNAcentral.
CUCGGCAACCAUAGCGGAAGGGUCACACCCGUUCCCAUCCCGAACACGGUCGUUAAGCCUUCCUGCGCCGAUGGUACUGUCCCUGAGAGGGGGCGGGAGAGUAGGUGUUGCCGGGC